AAAAGUGGCCAUGUCACCCUGCAGCCCAAGACCGGUUACUCACUGAAGCUAAGCAGGGCUGAGUCUGGUCAGUACCUGGAUGGGAGACCACUAGGGAACACUAAGUUGCUGUUGUAA
Danio rerio (zebrafish) is the source of this 117-nucleotide ribosomal RNA. Lineage: Eukaryota; Metazoa; Chordata; Actinopteri; Cypriniformes; Danionidae. The record is from Ensembl.